UAACGCGUGAGGAACCUGCCUCAAAGAGGGGGACAACAGCUGGAAACGACUGCUAAUACCGCAUAAGCCCACGGCUCGGCAUCGAGCAGAGGGAAAAGGAGCGAUCCGCUUUGAGAUGGCCUCGCGUCCGAUUAGCUAGUUGGUGAGGUAACGGCCCACCAAGGCGACGAUCGGUAGCCGGACUGAGAGGUUGAACGGCCACAUUGGGACUGAGACACGGCCCAG
Molecule: ribosomal RNA, 225 nt
Filed under: uncultured bacterium
Lineage: Bacteria
Description: partial 16S ribosomal RNA
Rfam family: Bacterial small subunit ribosomal RNA
Source: RNAcentral